Molecule: transfer RNA, 57 nt
Filed under: Schistocephalus solidus
Lineage: Eukaryota; Metazoa; Platyhelminthes; Cestoda; Diphyllobothriidea; Diphyllobothriidae
Rfam family: tRNA
About the family: Transfer RNA (tRNA) molecules are approximately 80 nucleotides in length. Their secondary structure includes four short double-helical elements and three loops (D, anti-codon, and T loops).
Source: Rfam by way of RNAcentral
GAGACCGUGGCUCAAUGGUUAGAGCGUUAGACUUCUGUUCAACAAGUCGCGGUUUCG